This 667-nucleotide long non-coding RNA is filed under the name Callithrix jacchus (white-tufted-ear marmoset). RNAcentral describes it as "lncRNA (ENSCJAG00000078208.1)". The record is from RNAcentral. Lineage: Eukaryota; Metazoa; Chordata; Mammalia; Primates; Cebidae.
AGAUGGUGGAGAAAGUGUUCUUAAAUGACUUAGAACUAUUCCAGAUUCCACCUCUGCCGGGCCAAAGGUGCCUCCCUGGGCACCCACCCCACAUAGCAUCACUUCUGUAGGAACACUGGGGUGGAGAAGUACCAGGAAAAAAUAAGGAAAUGGAUGGAGUUUGAGGCUUUUGCAAUAAAAGCUCUCCCCAAGACUAUUUCCUGUGUUAUGAGCAGACAAGGCCCUUGCCCUGGAGAAGCUUAUCAUCUCAUUUAAUGCAGGAAAACCCUGAAUACAGUGAAGGACGGGAGGAGAUGGAAACCACAAGAGCAAAGGGAAUGGAAAGAAGACAUGGUUCAACAUUGUUCCAGAAAAGCGGGGCUGGUGUAGUGUUUCCAUGAUCCUUGAUGCCAUGAUGGAAAAGCGCUUGGUGAGUGUGAGGCAGACACCGAUCCUUCUCUGUGUGGCCCAUUCUCAAAGGGUUCCUUCUGACACUCACCUGAGCCAAAUGAUGAAGCGCGGUGCCGUGAAGUUUUUCAUCAAGCAAUGUGGAGUGGAGGUUGGGAGAAGCAGAUGUGGAGUCAGACGCUGGGGGAACACCGCGGCUCUGCCAGUUACAAAAGCUGCUGACCUUGGACAAUCGGCUGUCUACCAGAAUGCCAAUGUGUCCCAUUCCGCAGAGUGGUGA